UUAAGGGUUGGAAGAUUUAUAUGUUAGUUUAAACUCUACGUUUUAUUGUUUAUGUUAUUAACUUGGCAACCUUGACCGUUGUUGUUUGUGUUUCCAAGCAUAGGAGGUUUAGCACUUCAUACUAGAGUGUCGAUAUUUGAUGGCUGAUUUUUGGGAUUUGUUUUAUUUCUUAAUUUUUUUCCGUUUGCUUGCUGGAGAACUAGACUUAGCAAAUGUAGUUAUAAUAUGUUUGUAUCAGAUAAUCUAGACUUAGUGCGAUUCUUUCAACUUGCACUUCAGUAUAUUUGAUCAAUUGUUUCAACUUGGCAGCGUGUAUUUGGGGUGGCAACUCUUGAGAAAACAGCUCAUGAUGACAUCAAAAAGCUUGCCUCAGCUGUAUAUUUGCAAGUGAGCAUUAUAAGUCAGGCCCUAAUAUUUGUAACUCGAUCUAGAAGUUGGUCCUUUGUUGAGCGUCCGGGUUUACUACUAUUGGCGGC
RNAcentral lists this long non-coding RNA (476 nucleotides) under Gossypium barbadense (sea-island cotton). RNAcentral's name for it is "long non-coding RNA (GBAR_LNC002065)". Lineage: Eukaryota; Viridiplantae; Streptophyta; Magnoliopsida; Malvales; Malvaceae. The record is from RNAcentral.